RNAcentral lists this ribosomal RNA (254 nucleotides) under uncultured bacterium. Its description in RNAcentral is "partial 16S ribosomal RNA". It matches the Rfam family "Bacterial small subunit ribosomal RNA", at positions 524 to 776 of the family's 1533-position model. The record is from RNAcentral.
CACGUAGGGGGGCAAGCGUUGUCCGGAUUUAUUGGGCGUAAAGAGCUCGUAGGCGGCUUGUCGCGUCGAAUGUGAAAACUCGGGGCUCAACUCCGAGCUUGCAUUCGAUACGGGCAGGCUAGAGUUCGGUAGGGGAGACUGGAAUUCCUGGUGUAGCGGUGAAAUGCGCAGAUAUCAGGAGGAACACCGGUGGCGAAGGCGGGUCUCUGGGCCGAUACUGACGCUGAGGAGCGAAAGCGUGGGGAGCGAACAGG